RNAcentral lists this ribosomal RNA (464 nucleotides) under uncultured bacterium. RNAcentral describes it as "bacterial SSU rRNA". It matches the Rfam family "Bacterial small subunit ribosomal RNA", at positions 29 to 526 of the family's 1533-position model. The record is from RNAcentral.
AACGAACGCUGGCGGCAUGCCUAACACAUGCAAGUCGAACGUGAUCCGGGACUUCGGUUCCGGUGAAAGUGGCGGACGGGUGAGUAACGCGUGGGAACCUGCCCAGUGGUAGGGGAUAACCGCGGGAAACUGCGGCUAAUACCCUAUGUGCCCUGCGGGGCAAAGAUUUAUCGCCAUUGGAGGGGCCCGCGUCGGAUUAGGUAGUUGGUGAGGUAACGGCUCACCAAGCCAUCGAUCCGUAGCUGGUCUGAGAGGAUGAUCAGCCACACUGGGACUGAGACACGGCCCAGACUCCUACGGGAGGCAGCAGUGGGGAGUAUUGGACAAUGGGGGCAACCCUGAUCCAGCAAUGCCGCGUGAGUGAUGAAGGCCUUAGGGUUGUAAAGCUCUUUCGGCGGGGAAGAUGAUGACGGUACCCGCAGAAGAAGCCCCGGCUAACUUCGUGCCAGCCGCCGCCGUAAAAC